RNAcentral lists this ribosomal RNA (393 nucleotides) under uncultured bacterium. Its description in RNAcentral is "partial 16S ribosomal RNA". It matches the Rfam family "Bacterial small subunit ribosomal RNA", at positions 523 to 918 of the family's 1533-position model. The record is from RNAcentral.
CUACGGAGGAUGCGAGCGUUAUCCGGAUUCAUUGGGUUUAAAGGGUGCGCAGGCGGCCCGUCAAGUCAGCGGUGAAAUCCCGUGGCUCAACCACGGAAGUGCCGUUGAUACUGUCGGGCUGGAAUGCGGUCGAGGCGGGCGGAACGUGGCGUGUAGCGGUGAAAUGCGUAGAUAUGCCACAGAACGCCGAUAGCGAAGGCGGCUCGCCGGACCGGGAUUGACGCUCAGGCACGAAAGCGUGGGGAUCGAACAGGAUUAGAUACCCUGGUAGUCCACGCCGUAAACGAUGGGCGCUCGUCGUCGGCGGCAGAAUGUCGGCGGCCAAGCGAAAGCGAUAAGCGCCCCACCUGGGGAGUACGGUCGCAAGGCUGAGACUCAAAUGAAUUGACGGGG